This 1035-nucleotide long non-coding RNA is filed under the name Mytilus galloprovincialis (Mediterranean mussel). The record is from RNAcentral. Lineage: Eukaryota; Metazoa; Mollusca; Bivalvia; Mytilida; Mytilidae.
AGAAAAAAAUAUCGAUACAAUCAUAUCAGAAUAUAAAACAAUGUCGAUAGUCAUAGUAGUUGAACAAGGUAUGUGGAUACAGUCAAAUCAGCAUAGUCAUGUCAAUUUCGAUACAGAAAAAAUAUGUAGAUACAGCCAUGUGGUCAUAUAGGGCCGUAACUACAUUGAGGCAAAUGCCUCAUGUUAGAAAUUUCAAAGAAAAAAACUUAAACAAAAGAUUGUCUUAAUAUCAAAUUGUUCUCACGGAAAGUGUCUAGCAAGAAGCAAGUUCUCUUCACUCUCUGGUGUCGCCCCUGCAUGUUUUUCGUGAUCCAUGUUUCUAUUUUACUUUUAGUUUUCAGAGUUGAUGGUCUAUUGUUUGUACUUCUAUGUGACUGUCCCGGGUUUGUCUUUUGUUCGUUUAUUGUCCUACUUCAUGACUAUAGUCUGAGUGAUGAUUUUCAUUUGUAAACGUGCGGUUUUGCAAUGUUGUAUGCCCACCGGAUGUCCAGAUAUUGUGCUAAAAAAAUAUUUUAAGAAUAUACGAUGAUACAAGACACAGAAAAAAAAUGGUCGUUUCUGCAUGGAGAAUUGAACUUGAUAUCAAAGAAUACAAAACUGGCUUUUAUGGGGGUAGAUAAAACUAGAAAGCUGACAUGGUUAAAAUUAUUAAAGUAAGGUCACCAAUUUCCCGGAUUCAAAUAAUUUGAAAAAAAAUAAUAAUGUGUUGCCAUAUGACCUUCUCCAUUGAAGGGUUUAACUUGCAUUAAGUCAUGUUCAGACCCUCUAACAGAAAAUAAAGGAAUAUGGAGUAAAUGUGCACGAAACCUAAUAGCACAGAGUCAAUGCAAAGAAAAAAUUCUAAAAGACAAUGGUCAAAGUUGCUGGAGGAUCUUCAACAAUAAAGGAAUCAAUAAUACCGUAAAACAGGGUCAAGAUGGUCCCUAGUGUCGACUGACACAGUACUAGUACUUAAAGUACAAUCUGCCACUAUAUUUAAAUCUAGUCAUAAAAAAAUAACCAUAGUCUAAGCACAAUUACAAUUAAGACAAAAAC